CAGCCGCCGCGGUAAUACGAAGGGGGCUAGCGUUGUUCGGAUUUACUGGGCGUAAAGCGCACGUAGGCGGAUCGAUCAGUCAGGGGUGAAAUCCCAGAGCUCAACUCUGGAACUGCCUUUGAUACUGUCGAUCUGGAGUAUGGAAGAGGUGAGUGGAAUUCCGAGUGUAGAGGUGAAAUUCGUAGAUAUUCGGAGGAACACCAGUGGCGAAGGCGGCUCACUGGUCCAUUACUGACGCUGAGGUGCGAAAGCGUGGGGAGCAAACAGGAUUAGAGACCCGCGUAGUCCCUGUCUCUUAUAC
This 301-nucleotide ribosomal RNA is filed under the name uncultured bacterium. RNAcentral describes it as "partial 16S ribosomal RNA". It matches the Rfam family "Bacterial small subunit ribosomal RNA", at positions 509 to 807 of the family's 1533-position model. The record is from RNAcentral.